GUCAGUGUGGCCGAGUGGUCUAAGGCGCCAGACUCAAGUUCUGGUCCUCACUGAGGGCGCGAGUUCGAAUCUCGCCGCUGACA
Non-coding RNA from Folsomia candida, 83 nucleotides. The record is from the annotation of a RefSeq genome assembly. NCBI's taxonomy places the organism in Eukaryota, Metazoa, Arthropoda, Collembola, Entomobryomorpha, Isotomidae.